CCGGCGAUUUCCGAAUGGGGAAACCCAGUGUGUUUCGACACACUAUCAUUAACUGAAUCCAUAGGUUAAUGAGGCGAACCGGGGGAACUGAAACAUCUAAGUACCCCGAGGAAAAGAAAUCAACCGAGAUUCCCCCAGUAGCGGCGAGCGAACGGGGAGGAGCCCAGAGCCUGAAUCAGUGUGUGUGUUAGUGGAAGCGUCUGGAAAGGCGCGCGAUACAGGGUGACAGCCCCGUACACAAAAAUGCACAUACUGUGAGCUCGAUGAGUAGGGCGGGACACGUGGUAUCCUGUCUGAAUAUGGGGGGACCAUCCUCCAAGGCUAAAUACUCCUGACUGACCGAUAGUGAACCAGUACCGUGAGGGAAAGGCGAAAAGAACCCCGGCGAGGGGAGUGAAAAAGAACCUGAAACCGUGUACGUACAAGCAGUGGGAGCCUCUUUUAUGGGGUGACUGCGUACCUUUUGUAUAAUGGGUCAGCGACUUAUAUUCUGUAGCAAGGUUAACCGAAUAGGGGAGCCGAAGGGAAACCGAGUCUUAACUGGGCGUUAAGUUGCAGGGUAUAGACCCGAAACCCGGUGAUCUAGCCAUGGGCAGGUUGAAGGUUGGGUAACACUAACUGGAGGACCGAACCGACUAAUGUUGAAAAAUUAGCGGAUGACUUGUGGCUGGGGGUGAAAGGCCAAUCAAACCGGGAGAUAGCUGGUUCUCCCCGAAAGCUAUUUAGGUAGCGCCUCGUGAAUUCAUCUCCGGGGGUAGAGCACUGUUUCGGCAAGGGGGUCAUCCCGACUUACCAACCCGAUGCAAACUGCGAAUACCGGAGAAUGUUAUCACGGGAGACACACGGCGGGUGCUAACGUCCGUCGUGAAGAGGGAAACAACCCAGACCGCCAGCUAAGGUCCCAAAGUCAUGGUUAAGUGGGAAACGAUGUGGGAAGGCCCAGACAGCCAGGAUGUUGGCUUAGAAGCAGCCAUCAUUUAAAGAAAGCGUAAUAGCUCACUGGUCGAGUCGGCCUGCGCGGAAGAUGUAACGGGGCUAAACCAUG
Molecule: ribosomal RNA, 1045 nt
Filed under: Escherichia coli
Lineage: Bacteria; Pseudomonadati; Pseudomonadota; Gammaproteobacteria; Enterobacterales; Enterobacteriaceae
Description: partial 23S ribosomal RNA
Rfam family: Bacterial large subunit ribosomal RNA
Source: RNAcentral